GUGGUCCCAUCUGACUGAAUCCUCUGUUUAUCCACAGACCAAGUACUGCACAGGCUGUACUGGUGCAAGCUUCCCCUGCCCCACCCCACUAAGAGGCCCCACCAUUGAUCUAGGCAGAGCAUAUCUAGGGUUGAGAAGAUAGGUCAGUCUCCGUGGCUCAUCCAGUUAUUGGCUUUU
Unclassified non-coding RNA from Chelonoidis abingdonii (Abingdon island giant tortoise), 177 nucleotides. NCBI's taxonomy places the organism in Eukaryota, Metazoa, Chordata, Testudines, Testudinidae. The record is from Ensembl.